AUUGAACGCUGGCGGCAGGCCUAACACAUGCAAGUCGAACGGUAACAGGAAGAAGCUUGCUUCUUUGCUGACGAGUGGCGGACGGGUGAGUAAUGUCUGGGAAACUGCCUGAUGGAGGGGGAUAACUACUGGAAACGGUAGCUAAUACCGCAUAACGUCGCAAGACCAAAGAGGGGGACCUUCGGGCCUCUUGCCAUCGGAUGUGCCCAGAUGGGAUUAGCUAGUAGGUGGGGUAACGGCUCACCUAGGCGACGAUCCCUAGCUGGUCUGAGAGGAUGACCAGCCACACUGGAACUGAGACACGGUCCAGACUCCGACGGGAGGCAGCAGUGGGGAAUAUUGCACAAUGGGCGCAAGCCUGAUGCAGCCAUGCCGCGUGUAUGAAGAAGGCCUUCGGGUUGUAAAGUACUUUCAGCGGGUAGGAAGGGAGUAAAGUUAAUACCUUUGCUCAUUGACGUUACCCGCAGAAGAAGCACCGGCUAACUCCGUG
Molecule: ribosomal RNA, 490 nt
Filed under: uncultured bacterium
Lineage: Bacteria
Description: partial 16S ribosomal RNA
Rfam family: Bacterial small subunit ribosomal RNA
Source: RNAcentral